UACAGAGGUCUCAAGCGUUGUUCGGAUUCAUUGGGCGUAAAGGGCGCGUAGGCGGCCCGUUAAGUCGAACGUGAAAUCCCCGGGCUCAACCCGGGAACUGCGUCCGAGACUGGCGGGCUCGAAUUCGGGAGAGGGAUGUGGAAUUCCAGGUGUAGCGGUGAAAUGCGUAGAUAUCUGGAGGAACAUCGGUGGCGAAGGCGGCAUCCUGGACCGAUAUUGACGCUGAGGCGCGAAAGCGUGGGGAGCAAACAGG
Molecule: ribosomal RNA, 253 nt
Filed under: uncultured bacterium
Lineage: Bacteria
Description: partial 16S ribosomal RNA
Rfam family: Bacterial small subunit ribosomal RNA
Source: RNAcentral